Molecule: long non-coding RNA, 297 nt
Organism: Harpia harpyja (harpy eagle)
Lineage: Eukaryota; Metazoa; Chordata; Aves; Accipitriformes; Accipitridae
Exons: 3
Source: RefSeq, a predicted model, not a curated record
CUUAUGCCUCCAAAUAAGAAUUUUCUAUCUCUCCAGGAAAGCAGGGUGAAAAAUUGCAUUCAAUGGGUGCUAAGCUGUCAUGCUGGAAUUCAUACAGCAAAGUGCUAGCUCAACGGCAGAGAAAGCAAAAUUCCUUGAAGCUAUCUGCCAAACAUUACAGAGCUGAAGUCUGUGGGAAAUGCCAACGCAGGCGGGACUUCAUUCUGGUAUCUAAUCAGAGCUCCGCUGCUGACCUGUCCUGUGACCACCAGUGACUCAUUCGACUGUCCUUACUGUUACCCCGCCUCACCAGCACCU